RNAcentral lists this ribosomal RNA (425 nucleotides) under uncultured cyanobacterium. RNAcentral's name for it is "bacterial SSU rRNA". It matches the Rfam family "Bacterial small subunit ribosomal RNA", at positions 356 to 795 of the family's 1533-position model. Lineage: Bacteria; Bacillati; Cyanobacteriota. The record is from RNAcentral.
GGGGAAUUUUCCGCAAUGGGCGAAAGCCUGACGGAGCAAUACCGCGUGAGGGAUGACGGCCUAUGGGUUGUAAACCUCUUUUUUCAGGGAGGAAAAAAAUGACGUUACCUGAAGAAUAAGCAUCGGCUAACUCCGUGCCAGCAGCCGCGGUAAGACGGAGGAUGCAAGUGUUAUCCGGAAUCACUGGGCGUAAAGCGUCUGUAGGUGGUUGACUAAGUCAACUGUUAAGUCUUGAGGCUCAACCUCAAAACCGCAGUCGAAACUAUUCAACUAGAGUCUAGUAGGGGUAAAGGGAAUUUCCAGUGGAGCGGUGAAAUGCGUAGAGAUUGGAAAGAACACCGAUGGCGAAGGCACUUUACUGGGCUAUGACUAACACUGAGAGACGAAAGCUAGGGUAGCAAAUGGGAUUAGAUACCCCAGUAGUC